AAUCGUAAACAAACUGUCGGUCAAUUAAAGCGAGAGGGGGCGCCCUCUCCACCGACCCUCCAUGGCUAGGGCUGCGCGUCCCUGCGGCGCCAGACCCAGGCCUCACUGCCACGGUAUCGCGUGCCCUGUCGCCCCCGGAAUCACGUCGUUCCACUUGGGGCGGUCAGGAAGCAAGCACCCGGUACGCUUACGGCCGGACGGUCGUGCAUCCUAGCACCUGUGUGUGCGGGUGUGUCAACGUUCGGUCGGAAGCCGGGGCUACCAGCCACCAGCAGCUUGCUGCUGGGUCUGGGUCUGGUGCUCCCCAAUGCUAUACUACAUACCAACACCACACAACAUCAACCUGUAUAUGUGCCUUGUGCGUCUAGCACGCCAAGCAAACUAACUGAUAGUAACACUGUA
This 402-nucleotide non-coding RNA is filed under the name Cladophora vagabunda. Lineage: Eukaryota; Viridiplantae; Chlorophyta; Ulvophyceae; Cladophorales; Cladophoraceae. The record is from RNAcentral.